This 407-nucleotide ribosomal RNA is filed under the name uncultured prokaryote. Its description in RNAcentral is "bacterial SSU rRNA". It matches the Rfam family "Bacterial small subunit ribosomal RNA", at positions 355 to 776 of the family's 1533-position model. The record is from RNAcentral. RNAcentral also lists the same sequence under 1 other name.
UGGGGAAUAUUGCGCAAUGGGGGAAACCCUGACGCAGCAACGCCGCGUGAGUGAUGAAGGUCUUCGGAUUGUAAAGCUCUGUCUUUGGGGACGAAAGAAAUGACGGUACCCAAGGAGGAAGCCACGGCUAACUACGUGCCAGCAGCCGCGGUAAUACGUAGGUGGCAAGCGUUGUCCGGAAUUACUGGGCGUAAAGGGUGCGUAGGCGGUAUGUUAAGUCAGAUGUGAAAUUCCGGAGCUUAACUUCGGAAUUGCAUUUGAAACUGGCAUGCUAGAGUGCAGGAGAGGGAAGCGGAAUUCCUAGUGUAGCGGUGAAAUGCGUAGAUAUUAGGAAGAACACCAGUCGCGAAGGCGGCUUUCUGGACUGUAACUGACGCUGAUGCACGAAAGCGUGGGGAGCAAACAGG